Camelus ferus (Wild Bactrian camel) is the source of this 73-nucleotide transfer RNA. It matches the Rfam family "tRNA". Rfam says of the family: Transfer RNA (tRNA) molecules are approximately 80 nucleotides in length. NCBI's taxonomy places the organism in Eukaryota, Metazoa, Chordata, Mammalia, Artiodactyla, Camelidae. The record is from Rfam.
GAGUGUAUAGCUCAAUGGUUAGAGUACAUGCUUAGCAUGCACAAGGUCCUGGGUUCAAUCCCCAGGACCUCCA